GGCAGCUUCUGCUAGUGUUUAGGUACUAGUGCAGUGUAGAACCCUUUUCUCAGGCAAAACCUAACAUCUGACCGCACCCUUUUUGCUAUUAAAAAAAAAAAAAAGCUUCUAUUUUUUUCCUCCUGUCGUUAAGAUAAAUUCUCCAGUAGACAACCUCUCCCACUAAUUGUGUAUUAGCAACGUAUUUUAUCUUGAGAGCUUGUACACUGGGCUCUCAACGUGGUGUGGAAGGUAGCCUGUUACAGUGCUGGAUUCAUAAAAGGGCCUUUAUGGUUUGUGAAAGAAUAUCUGUGUGCUUAGGGAGGAAACUUUUUGAUCUGCAGAAAAGCCAGAAGACAUCUAGGACAUCCAUAAAAAUUCAUCAGAGAGCAUUUUACUACUGAGCUGCAAAGGCUGGAGUGCAGUGGCACCGUCUCAGGUCACUUCAACCUCCGCCUCCUGGGCUCAAGCGAGUCUCCCGCCUCAGCCUCCUGAGUACCUGGAAUUGCAGGGAAAAACUUAAAAUGGAUAUGAAAAGUGAAGAAAGUGAUCAUAGGAGAAAACCAUUUCAGAUGACAAGAGCACCUCAAAGGCAGCAGCCUCAAGGAGCAGCCAUGGCCCCAGACUUGUCGCACGGAUGCAGAAAACUUAAUGGAGGAGGCUGAGGUCAGAAUGGGAAGAGUUUUUAAAAAAUAAAAAGGGGAGCUAAUAUG
This 692-nucleotide long non-coding RNA is filed under the name Homo sapiens (human). RNAcentral's name for it is "mir-99a-let-7c cluster host gene". The record is from RNAcentral. Lineage: Eukaryota; Metazoa; Chordata; Mammalia; Primates; Hominidae.